Molecule: long non-coding RNA, 3360 nt
Filed under: Homo sapiens (human)
Lineage: Eukaryota; Metazoa; Chordata; Mammalia; Primates; Hominidae
Description: HSALNT0181503
Source: RNAcentral
GAAGAACUCUUCUGUGACGGUAUCUAACAGGGAAAGGCGACUUUGUGUUCCAGCUGCCAUAUUGUAGCUGCAACCCCUGAUGCACCAUCAAUUAAAAACAGCAAUAAUUAUGCAUGGGAAAAAGCCACAGAUAAUAGGCUUCCAUUAGAUUAAGUAGUUAUAUGAAUAAAAAAAAUACAACCUAUACUUCGGCUAAUUAAACCCACUCACCAUCUGAUUAAGAUGUGUUGUGAGACCAUGGAAAACUACCAACCACUAACUGUAAGUAAUCCGGCACAGAUGGGAAUUAAUAGUACAUUCCCUGGUUUAGAGAUAAUGGAUCUCCAUAGAGGUUGAUCAGAAUCAUUAAUAAGCAUCGACAGGAUGGACAGUACAAAACAGCUGGUGCCUAAUGUUGGGGUGGAGCAGGCCAUGUUCUUAAUUCCACUCCACCUACUGAGAUGAGCCGGAAGACGGAUAGAUGUGCUGAGACGCCAUCAGAGCUGAGGUUCUACGGGAGUUCUGGACUUGCUGCCUGGGCUCGAGGGAGCUGAAAAGGAAUCGGGACCCAACCAAAGGGUGGGAGUUGGCCCCGCUGCUCGGCUUUGCAAGGAUCUACUCCAAGGGUAGCUAGAACCAAAGCUUCCGCUCUCCGGGAAGGCAGCCUGCCCGUUACCCAGAGAGGCUCUCUCCUAGGGGCGUGGCUUGGGUUACCAUGGGAACCAGGCCUGGUUGACAUAUCCCAGGGCUGCUGUUUUGGGGACUGAGAAUUCAGGGCUAGUCCCAGAAAUAACGCCUGGGAGUAGCAGCUGUGGGGAGAGAUACGAGCGUGUCCGCUGCGUGGGGAGUGCGGAGGGGAUCCGAGGGAGGUGGCCGGCCAGAGCGCCCUAGGACACAGUGUUCCCAAUGUCCGUUUAGAGCUACUCUCCAGCCUCCAGCUUCUGUCCUUAGGAGCAGCUGCGAGGAGAGCACCCGGGCCCUGCCUUCUAAUUACCACUAAUUAGGUAAAUGCGGAGACGCCUCUCUCUCCCUCCCCCGACCUACAAAGGCAACUGAGAGACACACAGAGAGGUCACACACAGCCGUUUCCAAAUGGAGACAGGCAAGGGUGAUGUGGCCUGAAUACCAAGCAGCCGCUGCCCAAGGGAAGGGGAGCGGGGACAGGGCAGGAGGCUUCUGAGCGUGUGGCCCCUAGCUAGGGAGGCACCGAGGCGGGAGAGGGAGCCCAGGCCACUUUCCCAGCCUGGGUUCCUGGCUCCCCCGCCUUGACUGUGCAGGGGUGUCUGGUUGAGGAGGGAAGUCCUAGAUCAGUCCCCAGUCCCAGUCCUCGGAGGGUUUGCUCUUUCUGGAAGUCCUUGGCUCAGGAUCCUUGGACUUGUCUGUGGGUUUGGUUCUUCUCCUGGUUGUCUGGAUGGGAGGGGAGGGGCCUAGGCUUGCUGGGGCUGUGUGUAGGGUCAAAGGCACUAUGGAUCCUAAUGGAGAACCUCAGGGCAAAACCAACAGUACUGCCAUACCCAUGGAUGUGGUGCAGGUUCGGUUCCAAACCAUAGCAAAGCAAAUAUAGCAAUAAAGCAAGUCACACAAGUUUUUUGGUUUCCCAGUGUGUAUAAAAGUUAUGUUUGCACUAUAGUUGAUUAGGUGUGCAAUGGCAUUAUGUCUAAAAGAGCGUAUACCUUAAUUUUAAAAUAUUUUAUUGAUAAAAAUGCUAACACAGAGACAUGAAGUCAGCACGUGCUGUUGGAAAAUGGCACUGAUAGACCUGCUCAAUGCUGGGUUGCCACAAACAUUCAAUUUGUAAAAAAAUCUAACCUGCGGAGCAUAAUAAAGCAAAGUGCCAUAAAAGGAGGUCUGCCUGUGGUUUUUUAUCUUUUCCUUGGGCUGUGGGUGGGGGCCAAUACCUGUCCCUGAAAUAGGUAUGGAAGCUCACCUAUUUUAAGUUUGAGGCAAUACAUUGGCUUAAAGGGUUUUGUUUUUGUUUGUCUUCAUUUUUAUUUUUAAUAGGUAUCACUUCCUUAUCUUACCCCUAACCUCAUAAAGCUGGUGGUGUAAAGGGAAUGGCCAUCCCAUUUUUCAGAUGAAAAACACUGAGGCUGGCUGAUCUCAUCUUGCAGAGGUCAGCCCACACUCCCCUCUCUGAGAGUGUAAAACAUAACAUAACAAAACAAAACAAAACAAAACAAAACUGAGGCCAAGAGUGGGGAUGUGGCUGGGUGCUGGUUCUUUUGUUUUUGUUUUUGUUUUUCUUUGAGACAAGGUCUCGCUCUGUCAGGCUGUAGUGCAGUGGUGUGAUUGUGGCUCACAGCAGCCUCAACCUCCUGGGCUUAAGCGAUCCUCCCGCGUCAGCCUCCCUAGUAGCUGGGCUACAGGUGCUUGCCAGCACACCCAGCUAAUUUUUGUAUUUUGUGUGGGAAUAGAGUUUCACCAUGUUGCCUAGACUGCUCUUGAACUCCUGGGUUCAAGUGAUCUUCCAACCUUGGCUUCCCAAAGUGCUGGGAUUACAGAUGUGAGCCACCACGCCCAGCCUCGUUCAUUUUGACAUCAUAGUCAAAGCAAAAACCCAAAGUAUCUGAAGUUCUAGGCAAUCUACUAAUAAUCCAUAAUGUUCAGAGAGAUAUUGCCUUUUUUUUUUUUUUUUGAGAUGGAGUUUCGCUCUUGUCACCCAUGCUGGAGUGCAAUGGCACGAUCUCAACUCUCUGCAACCUCCGCCUCGCGGGUUCAAGCUAUUCUCCCGCCUCAGCCUCCCAAGUAGCUGGGAUUACAGGCAUACACCACCAUCCCUGGCUAAGUUUGGUAUUUUUAGUAGAGAUGAGGUUCCACCAUGUUGGCCAGGCUGGUCUCAAACUCCCGACCUCAGGUGACCCGUCCACAUUGGCCUCCCAAAGUGCUGGGAUUACAGGCGUGAGCCACCACACCCGGCCUUGCUUUAGUUUUAAGUUGUGGGAGGAAAACAUGUUUGUUUGUUUGUUUUUAAAUAUUCAAUUAUUACAAAAGAGUUUAAAAAGUCUUUGAAAAAUGUUCCAUGUUUGUACAAGCACGUAUGUUUAUCUAUAUGUCUUUUCCUCAAGACAUAUACGUUAUAAUAUUUCUAAGAAAACUAUAAUGCUGCUUUACAACUUUACUUUUUCAUUUGUCUAUUAUACUUUUAUUACCUGUUACAGUUUACAAAAUGCUUUAAUUCUCACAUUAACCCAUCAAGUUAAGUGAGAUGGGCAUUAUUUUUAUUUAUUAAUUUUAAUUUUUAUUUUUUUGAGACGAGGUCUCAUUCUGUCACCCAGGCUGAGUGCAGUGGUGGGAUCAUGAUUCACUGCAGCCUCAACCUCCUGGGCUCAAGCGUUCUCUAGCUUCAGCCUCUCUAUCAGCUGGGACUGUAGGCAUGUCCUC